GAUGAACGCUGGCGGCGUGCCUAAUACAUGCAAGUCGAGCGAACAGACGAGGAGCUUGCUCCUCUGACGUUAGCGGCGGACGGGUGAGUAGCACGUGGAGAACCUCCCUAUAAGACUGGGAUAACUUCGGGAAACCGGAGCUAAUACCGGAUAAUAUAUUGAACCGCAUGGUUCAAUAGUGAAAGACGGUUUUGCUGUCACUUAUAGAUUGAUCCGCGCCGCAUUAGCUAGUUGGUAAGGUAACGGCUUACCAAGGCAACGAUGCGUAGCCGACAUGAGAGCGUGAUUGGCCACACUGGCACUGAGACACGGCCCAGACACCUACGGGAGGCAGCAGUAGGGAAUCUUCCGCAAUGCGGGAAAGCUUGAUGGAGCAAAGCCGCGUGAGUGAUGAAGGUCUUCGGAUCGUAAAACUCUGUUAUUAGGGAAGAACAAAUGUGUAAGUAACUAUGCACGUCUUGACGGUACCUAAUUAGAAAGCCACGGCUAACUACGUG
RNAcentral lists this ribosomal RNA (497 nucleotides) under uncultured bacterium. Its description in RNAcentral is "partial 16S ribosomal RNA". It matches the Rfam family "Bacterial small subunit ribosomal RNA", at positions 28 to 507 of the family's 1533-position model. The record is from RNAcentral.